Molecule: long non-coding RNA, 608 nt
Filed under: Phasianus colchicus (ring-necked pheasant)
Lineage: Eukaryota; Metazoa; Chordata; Aves; Galliformes; Phasianidae
Description: lncRNA (ENSPCLG00000008614.1)
Source: RNAcentral
CAACAUAAAGCUGAGGCAAAGAACUGCUGCAGGUCCACUGAAGGGUGUGGUUGGUGCCAUGGGUGGCACAGGGGCUGGGUGAAGGGCAGACCCAGAGCACCUUCAAUCUCCUCCUGCUGAUGAGAACACUCCAAAUAGCAGUGUGGGAUGGAGGGCUUUGCUGCCCACUGCUCCCUGUGCCUGACCAGCUGCUGGGACAGCCAAGAAGAGAGCUGUAAGAAUCACAUCACAGAAUCAUGAUAAUCAUGGAUGUUGACAUGAUUGACUUCAGCGCCAUUUGGUUGAUCAGGAAACACACUGCCUCCAGCUCCACGUGUCUCAUCCAGGACAGAGCUGUUUUUCUGUGGCCACAUUCAAACACGCUCCAUCCUGCGACCCACCAAUGCUUCCUCUGCAGAGUUAAAUCAGAGGUGAGGUCUCGAAUUUUGUUAUGACCGAUAGUUGGCUCAGAUUAUUUGGUCACCAGUGAAUGAAUGAUUUCUUUCACCCUCACCCUUUGCCAACGUCAGUGAUGUUCUGUUCAGCUGCCUUUUCUCUUUCUGUGUGAAGUAAUGCAAAGCAGUGUGAAAGAGGAGGACAGCAUUGAGGUGUCAUACUCCAAGCCAUUU